AAUAGGACCCUGUCCUCCUAUUUUCAGUUGGUUUUGGCAGCGCGAGGACUAGGGUAAUGAUUAAUAGGGAUAGUUGGGGGCAUUAAUAUUUAAUUGUCAGAGGUGAAAUUCUUGGAUUUAUGAAAGAUUAACUUCUGCGAAAGCAUCUGCCAAGGAUGUUUUCAUUAAUCAAGAACGAAAGUUAGGGGAUCGAAGACGAUCAGAUACCGUCGUAGUCUUAACCAUAAACGAUGCCGACCAGCGAUUAGGAGACGUUGAAUACAAAACACCACCAUCGGCGCGGUCGUCCUUGGCGUGUCUCGGCUUCACGGCCGGGGCGCGCGAGGGCGGUUUAGCCCGGUGGCACC
This 347-nucleotide ribosomal RNA is filed under the name Acanthamoeba genotype T4. RNAcentral describes it as "SSU rRNA". The stretch from base 1 to 307 matches the Rfam family "Eukaryotic small subunit ribosomal RNA", at positions 821 to 1115 of the family's 1831-position model. The record is from RNAcentral. Lineage: Eukaryota; Discosea; Longamoebia; Acanthamoebidae.